AUCUUGUCUGCCCAGCUUCCCGUAGCCAUCCUCGCCUGCCUUCUCGCGCUGUUUCUAGCUCUCGCCAUCCCUCGGCGUACUCUUCCUCUCCUCCGAGUCAGAGUACCCUGGAGGGAUAAUGCUCUGCAGCACUGGCUAGAACUUCCAUCCCUGUGGUGAAUAAGAGUGAUGAAAGUGGACACCAUCGUAUUAUUGAAUUGAAGGGAUGUAGAUGGAUAACAUGACCACAAGAGUUAGGCCCCGAAGCAGAUGAUUGCCUCUGGCACCCGCCGUAUGCAAUUCGAGGUGAAAUUUCCAAGAGCCAAAUGAAAUAAUUGCAACAGGGACUUUGGUACCAAUUGAGUCUUCAGGAAUUCUUAAACAAUGUGAUGUCCUGGGG
Molecule: long non-coding RNA, 379 nt
Filed under: Homo sapiens (human)
Lineage: Eukaryota; Metazoa; Chordata; Mammalia; Primates; Hominidae
Description: non-protein coding lnc-CD38-3:7
Source: RNAcentral